UUCUCCACCCCAAAUCAAAUUCUCUCUCUCUCUCAAAAAAUUGAAUUGGGUCACCACACGAUUUCUCCUCACGACACCACCAUUGCUCAUGAUUGAAGGCUCGUCGUGUCCAGAAAACAUGAGUGACCGGGACGGGGAAGAGACGACGUCAGCGACGAGCUCUGAUGAGGAUAAUUUCGCACAUCCAGUUCCUCCGUAGGACAUUGUUGGUUUGGUAAAUUGGUGUAGUUCUUAAGAGAUCGAUAGAGGUGAGAAAGAUGACUCCAUCGAACCCAUGAUAAAGCAUUCGGGCGUGGGAACCGCCGGCAAAGACCAUGACGGGUGGGGCACGACAUGGGCACGAUCGUGGGCUGCGGUCAUGCCCACAAUGGCAGCCCCCCAUGGUGGACACGGCAGAUGCAUCCCAUCGUGGGCACGACAGCCUCCUCUGGUCAUGGUCUUAGCAUCCAUGGCUCUAUUUUGUUGUGCUUUGUUGUAUUAUUUUGUUCAAAGACAUGAUCAUGGUUCUAAUGUCUUGUAUACAUUGAUUUUCUAGAAUAAUUGUGAUUGAAAAUGACCACCAUGCUCUA
Molecule: long non-coding RNA, 569 nt
Organism: Salvia miltiorrhiza (redroot sage)
Lineage: Eukaryota; Viridiplantae; Streptophyta; Magnoliopsida; Lamiales; Lamiaceae
Exons: 2
Source: RefSeq, a predicted model, not a curated record